ACACGUAGGGGCCUGACGUUGUUCGGAAUUACUGGGCGUAAAGGGCAUGUAGGCGGUUUUGUAAGCCUGGCGUGAAAUUCUGCAGCUUAACAGUAGGAAUGCGCUGGGAACUGCGAGACUGGAGUCACGGUGAGGGAGCCAGAAUUACAGGUGAAGGGGGGAAAUCUGUGGAUAUCUGGAAGAAUACCAAUGGCGAAGGCAGGCUUCUGGCCGAUGACUGACGCUGAGGUGCGAAAGCGUGGGUAGCAAACAGGAUUAGAUACCCUGGUAGUCCACGCGGUAAACGAUGCACACUAGGUGCCGGGGCGGACGCUUCGGUGCCGGAGCCAACGUGGUAAGUGUGCCGCCUGGGGAGUAUGCUCGCAAGGGUGAAACUUAAAGGAAUUGACGGGG
Molecule: ribosomal RNA, 393 nt
Filed under: uncultured bacterium
Lineage: Bacteria
Description: partial 16S ribosomal RNA
Rfam family: Bacterial small subunit ribosomal RNA
Source: RNAcentral